RNAcentral lists this transfer RNA (72 nucleotides) under Marmota marmota marmota (Alpine marmot). It matches the Rfam family "tRNA". From Rfam's summary of the family: Transfer RNA (tRNA) molecules are approximately 80 nucleotides in length. Their secondary structure includes four short double-helical elements and three loops (D, anti-codon, and T loops). The record is from Rfam by way of RNAcentral. Lineage: Eukaryota; Metazoa; Chordata; Mammalia; Rodentia; Sciuridae. RNAcentral also lists the same sequence under 4 other names.
UGGGGCAUGGCUCAGUGGUGGAGCACUUGCCUAGCAUGUAUGAGGCUCUGGGUUCCAUCCCCAGUGCUGAAA